Molecule: ribosomal RNA, 706 nt
Filed under: uncultured bacterium
Lineage: Bacteria
Description: bacterial SSU rRNA
Rfam family: Bacterial small subunit ribosomal RNA
Source: RNAcentral
AUGUCGACUUGGAGGUUGUGCCCUUGAGGCGUGGCUUCCGGAGCUAACGCGUUAAGUCGACCGCCUGGGGAGUACGGCCGCAAGGUUAAAACUCAAAUGAAUUGACGGGGGCCCGCACAAGCGGUGGAGCAUGUGGUUUAAUUCGAUGCAACGCGAAGAACCUUACCUACUCUUGACAUCCAGAGAACUCAGCAGAGAUGCUUUGGUGCCUUCGGGAACUCUGAGACAGGUGCUGCAUGGCUGUCGUCAGCUCGUGUUGUGAAAUGUUGGGUUAAGUCCCGCAACGAGCGCAACCCUUAUCCUUUGUUGCCAGCGGUCCGGCCGGGAACUCAAAGGAGACUGCCAGUGAUAAACUGGAGGAAGGUGGGGAUGACGUCAAGUCAUCAUGGCCCUUACGAGUAGGGCUACACACGUGCUACAAUGGCAUAUACAGAGAGAAGCGACCUCGCGAGAGCAAGCGGACCUCAUAAAGUAUGUCGUAGUCCGGAUUGGAGUCUGCAACUCGACUCCAUGAAGUCGGAAUCGCUAGUAAUCGUAGAUCAGAAUGCUACGGUGAAUACGUUCCCGGGCCUUGUACACACCGCCCGUCACACCAUGGGAGUGGGUUGCAAAAGAAGUAGGUAGCUUAACCUUCGGGAGGGCGCUUACCACUUUGUGUUUCAUGACUGGGGUGAAGUCGUAACAAGGUAACCGUAAAGGGCGAAUU